Molecule: ribosomal RNA, 496 nt
Filed under: uncultured bacterium
Lineage: Bacteria
Description: partial 16S ribosomal RNA
Rfam family: Bacterial small subunit ribosomal RNA
Source: RNAcentral
GAUGAACGCUGGCGGCGUGCCUAAUACAUGCAAGUCGAGCGAACGGACGAGAAGCUUGCUUCUCUGAUGUUAGCGGCGGACGGGUGAGUAACACGUGGAUAACCUACCUAUAAGACUGGGAUAACUUCGGGAAACCGGAGCUAAUACCGGAUAAUAUUUUGAACCGCAUGGUUCAAAAGUGAAAGACGGUCUUGCUGUCACUUAUAGAUGGAUCCGCGCUGCAUUAGCUAGUUGGUAAGGUAACGGCUUACCAAGGCAACGAUGCAUAGCCGACCUGAGAGGGUGAUCGGCCACACUGGAACUGAGACACGGUCCAGACUCCUACGGGAGGCAGCAGUAGGGAAUCUUCCGCAAUGGGCGAAAGCCUGACGGAGCAACGCCGCGUGAGUGAUGAAGGUCUUCGGAUCGUAAAACUCUGUUAUUAGGGAAGAACAUAUGUGUAAGUAACUGUGAACAUCUUGACGGUACCUAAUCAGAAAGCCACGGCUAACUACGU